GGCGCUGGAUCGGAGACAUUAUCGAGUUUUGACUGGGUUGUACUGGCCUUCCGAGGCAUGUGCACGCCCUGCUCAUCCGCUCUACACCUGUGCACUUACUGUGGGUCUCGGAUAGCGAAGCGAGUCCUUUUGCGGGCCCGCGGAUCGUCUGUGCCUGCGUUUAUUACAAACACAUACAAAGUAUCAGAACGUGUAUUGCGAUGUAACGCAUCUAUAUACAACUUUCAGCAACGGAUCUCUUGGCUCUCGCAUCGAUGAAGAACGCAGCGAAAUGCGAUAAGUAAUGUGAAUUGCAGAAUUCAGUGAAUCAUCGAAUCUUUGAACGCACCUUGCGCUCCUUGGUAUUCCGAGGAGCAUGCCUGUUUGAGUGUCAUGAAACCUUCAACCUAUAAAGCCUUUGCGGGUUUGUAGGCUUGGACUUGGAGGCUUGGGCCUGGGGGCUUUGUCGGCCUGUUAGCGGUCGGCUCCUCUUAAAUGCAUUAGUUCGAUUCCUUGCGGAUCGGCUCUCGGUGUGAUAAAUGUCUACGCCGCGACCGUGAAGCGUUUGACGAGCUUCCAAUCGUCUCGCGUGAGACAACAUAUUGACCUCUGACCUCAAUCGUAGUUCCUU
RNAcentral lists this ribosomal RNA (610 nucleotides) under Niveoporia russeimarginata. RNAcentral describes it as "eukaryotic LSU rRNA". The stretch from base 220 to 373 matches the Rfam family "5.8S ribosomal RNA". Lineage: Eukaryota; Fungi; Basidiomycota; Agaricomycetes; Polyporales; Polyporaceae. The record is from RNAcentral.